Long non-coding RNA from Symphalangus syndactylus (siamang), 651 nucleotides. RefSeq lists it as uncharacterized. The record is from RefSeq and is a predicted model, not a curated record. NCBI's taxonomy places the organism in Eukaryota, Metazoa, Chordata, Mammalia, Primates, Hylobatidae.
AAAGUCCCUGAUUAAAUGGCAUAGGGUCCUAUACUUCAUUACAUCAUAACAGGGGAUCAAUUUUGUGGCAAAAGAGGUGUGACAAGGAGCUCCUAAUCAUAGAACUCACAUCUUUUACAAUAUAUUGCAUCACAAACACCCUACUUUCCUCAUAGAAUGAUGGAAUGGAUAUUACAGUCACCAUUAAGAAACAGCAGAGAUUAAUAUAUAUGUGCUUGAAGUUCAUUGCAUGAAGUAUUAACUAUCCUACAGUGCUAAGCUGUAUUAAUUCUGAUGGACAGUUACUUAGGGAAGUCAAAUGCCCCACCACCAUCAUUCAGCAAAGAGGUGCAUUAUAUGAGCCUGAAAGUGAAUGUUCCUGUUAAGGAUCCGGCCGUCAAGCCCGAGCUACAUGGAGAGGUCGUGUUUGGACACCUUAAUUAGCCCCAGCUGAGUUCCUAGCAUUAACUACCAGUCAUGUGGAGCAACCUAUGAAUGAGGAUGUAAUGUGGCAGCAGUUCUUUUGCUGAUAAUGCCAACAUAUUGUGGUGUUUUAUCUGUGAGCCAGGUCUCUGUCUUUUCUCCCUUUGUUGAUUGGUCAAAAGUUACCCUCCAUAAGGACAUAGUUGUGAGUUUGAGGAUAAGCAUCAAAUAAACAGAAGUAAGUGACAA